RNAcentral lists this ribosomal RNA (411 nucleotides) under uncultured fungus. RNAcentral's name for it is "eukaryotic LSU rRNA". The stretch from base 1 to 125 matches the Rfam family "5.8S ribosomal RNA", at positions 30 to 154 of the family's 154-position model. The record is from RNAcentral. Lineage: Eukaryota; Fungi.
GCAUCGAUGAAGAACGCAGCAAAAUGUGAUAAGUAAUGUGAAUUGCAGAAUUUAGUGAAUCAUCGAAUCUUUGAACGCAAAUGGCGCUCUUGGGCAAUCCCAGGAGCACGUCUGUCUGAGCGUCGUUUCUCACAUCCAGUCUCUCACGAGACCGGGCCAUGAGGCGUCCCUUUGCGAGAGCGAACGGUCCCUUGAAGUAGAGCGAUCCCGAGCGUGCGGAUGCCAGUCGUGGCCCGUUCCCUCGGUGUGGUAGUGAUAUCUCACCAGAAGGACGAGCGACGGCUUUCGGCAAAAGCUAGUUCUCGAACGACCGGAAAGGAAGCUUUCUAUUUCGGUAGAACUGCUGACCAACCAAGACCUCAGAUCAGGCGAGACUACCCGCUGAACUUAAGCAUAUCAAUAAGCGGAGGA